This 915-nucleotide ribosomal RNA is filed under the name uncultured Thermoplasmatales archaeon. RNAcentral's name for it is "bacterial SSU rRNA". It matches the Rfam family "Archaeal small subunit ribosomal RNA", at positions 1 to 923 of the family's 1478-position model. The record is from RNAcentral. Lineage: Archaea; Methanobacteriati; Thermoplasmatota; Thermoplasmata; Thermoplasmatales.
UUCCGGUUGAUCCUGCCGGCGGUCACCGCUCUUGGAAUCCGAUUAAGCCAUGUGAGUCGAGAAGGUUCGGCCCUCGGCAGACUGCUCAGUAACACGUGGAUAACCUACCCUAAGGUGGGGGAUAAUCUCGGAAAACUGAGGAUAAUACCCCAUAGAUCUUGGUGACUGGAAUGUCCCAAGGUUGAAAGUUCCGGCGCCUUAGGAUGGGUCUGCGGCCUAUCAGGUUGUAGUUAGUGUGAAGAACUAACUAGCCGACGACGGGUACGGGCCAUGGGAGUGGUAGCCCGGAGAUGGACUCUGAGACGCGAGUCCAGGCCCUACGGGGCGCAGCAGGCGCGAAAACUUUGCAAUGCGCGAAAGCGCGACAAGGGGAUUCCAAGUGCAUGCACUCAGUGUAUGCUUUUCGUGAGUCUAAAAAGCUCACGGAAUAAGGGCUGGGUAAGACUGGUGCCAGCCGCCGCGGUAAUACCAGCGGCCCUAGUGGUGAUCGUUAUUAUUGGGCCUAAAGCGUCCGUAGCCGGUUCGGUAAAUCUCUGGGUAAAUCGUUGGGCUUAACUCAACGAAUUCUGGGGAGACUGCCGAACUUGGGACCGGGAGAGGUCGGAGGUACUCCAGGGGUUGGGGUGAAAUCCUGUAAUCCUUGGGGGACCACCGGUGGCGAAAGCGUCCGACCAGAACGGGUCCGACGGUAAGGGACGAAGCCCUGGGGCGCGAACCGGAUUAGAUACCCGGGUAGUCCAGGGUGUAAACGCUGUGCGCUUGGUGUUGGGGGUCCCACGAGGGCAUCCAGUGCCGGAGAGAAGUUGUUAAGCGCACCGCCUGGGGAGUACGGUCGCAAGACUGAAACUUAAAGGAAUUGGCGGGGGAGCACAGCAACGGGAGGAGCGUGCGGUUUAAUUGGAUUCAACGCCGGAA